AACGCCGGCGGCGUGCCUAAUACAUGCAAGUCGAACGAACCGCGACUAGGUGCUUGCACUUGGUCAAGGUGAGUGGCGAACGGGUGAGUAACACGUGGGUAACCUACCUCAUAGUGGGGGAUAACAGUCGGAAACGUCUGCUAAUACCGCAUAGGACAUGGAAUCACAUGAUUCCGUGAGGAAAGGUGGCGCAAGCUAUCGCUAAGAGAUGGACCCGCGGUGCAUUAGCUAGUUGGUAGGGUAACGGCCUACCAAGGCGAUGAUGCAUAGCCGACCUGAGAGGGUGAUCGGCCACAUUGGGACUGAGACACGGCCCAAACUCCUACGGGAGGCAGCAGUAGGGAAUCUUCCGCAAUGGACGCAAGUCUGACGGAGCAACGCCGCGUGAGUGAAGAAGGUCUUCGGAUCGUAAAGCUCUGUUGUUAGAGAAGAACAGCGCAUAGAGUAACUGUUAUGCGUGUGAC
Molecule: ribosomal RNA, 464 nt
Filed under: Abiotrophia defectiva
Lineage: Bacteria; Bacillati; Bacillota; Bacilli; Lactobacillales; Aerococcaceae
Description: bacterial SSU rRNA
Rfam family: Bacterial small subunit ribosomal RNA
Source: RNAcentral